This 448-nucleotide ribosomal RNA is filed under the name uncultured bacterium. RNAcentral describes it as "bacterial SSU rRNA". It matches the Rfam family "Bacterial small subunit ribosomal RNA", at positions 329 to 794 of the family's 1533-position model. The record is from RNAcentral.
GACCAGACUCCUACGGGAGGCAGCAGUGGGGAAUAUUGCACAGUGGGGGAAACCCUGAUGCAGCGACGCCGCGUGAGUGAAGAAGUAUUUCGGUAUGUAAAGCUCUAUCAGCAGGGAAGAAAAUGACGGUACCUGACUAAGAAGCCCCGGCUAACUACGUGCCAGCAGCCGCGGUAAUACGUAGGGGGCAAGCGUUAUCCGGAUUUACUGGGUGUAAAGGGAGCGUAGACGGCAUGGCAAGUCAGAUGUGAAAGCCCGGGGCUCAACCCCGGGACUGCAUUUGAAACUGUCAGGCUGGAGUGCAGGAGAGGUAAGUGGAAUUCCUAGUGUAGCGGUGAAAUGCGUAGAUAUUAGGAGGAACACCAGUGGCGAAGGCGGCUUACUGGACUGUAACUGACGUUGAGGCUCGAAAGCGUGGGGAGCAAACAGGAUUAGAUACCCGCGUAUC